RNAcentral lists this transfer RNA (73 nucleotides) under Pectobacterium bacteriophage PM2. It matches the Rfam family "tRNA". Rfam says of the family: Transfer RNA (tRNA) molecules are approximately 80 nucleotides in length. The record is from Rfam by way of RNAcentral. Lineage: Duplodnaviria; Heunggongvirae; Uroviricota; Caudoviricetes; Pantevenvirales; Straboviridae.
GCAUCCAUCGUAUAAUGGCUUAUUAUGACUGGCUUCCACCCAGUAGAUGAGGUUUCGAUUACCUCUGGAUGCU